UAUUUAUCUCCCUCAUUUUCUAGAAACAAAGACCUAAAUUUCAUUAUCAAAGAAGUUUGCUCCAUCUCUUCAGCUAAGCGCCCUUUCUAGAUUCUCCUCUCUUAUGUGAUAAUGCAAUUUAUGACCUAGAAAUUUCAUUCAUGCUAACCCUUAAGUCUAUUUGUUUGGUUGAAAAAUGUGUUGGGAUUUUGAUUUUUUCAGGAAAUGGAAAGAAAACAAGGUUUCUUCUCAGCAUAUAAGGAAGAGGUUGUGUGUGGGUUAUCGUCGGAAGGUCUUGAGCGAAGAGUCCGUUGAGAAGUGGGUCAUCCAUUACUAGUUUUAUUCGGAGGAAGAAGAUCUCGCUUCAUCAACUCUGUUUCAGUUAGCAACACUCAUAAUCCUAACACUGGUGGUGGUGGUUUCCAUGACUUUACCAGAGCAUCACACAAUUUUAACAAGUUGAAAAUCGAAAGUUCUAUGUCUGAUCAAGAACAGGCGGAAGCUCAAAUGGUCAUAGUGGUGAUGCAGAAAACUACUCCGUAAUCAUAGGUCAUCAGCAGUAAGAGCUGCAUUCCAUUUCAUGACGGUGAAAAAGACAUCAUACACUUGGAUGAAGGCAUGGUCUUGUUAAGGAGAUCGACCAUCUAUCCCUACUUUGCAUUCUUAUGCCAGAGUUUCACCAUUUUGAUUUUGGAGCGAUUUCCUCAAUGAUGAAUCUGAAAAAGUAAUCAAUCUCAUUGACUUUGGAGAGUUAACAGAAAGAAAAUAGUGGAAACAACCUUGCAUUAUGUAACAAGUCGAAAGAAAAUGUUGUAAUGAGAAUAUUGGUACUGCAUUUCUGUCUACAGACUCAGCUUCCGAUGUCUAAUUGUGGAGAAGCAACAUUAUCUUCUUCAAAACGGCAAAUGGUGGCUUUAUGAUGAAUUCAAGUAAUAAUCCUGGUAGUCAGAGUGCUUCUCAGAUGGGAACCAUCAUAUUGUCCCUGUUUUCUUCGCAGUGAUUCCUCUAUGCUUAACUCUGAUAUUUUGAUCUCAAGGUCUACAGCCACACUAAUAUUUCACCUGUUGAUGCAAGUAGCGCACAAACUGUAAGAGGCAAAAAUAUUCCACAUUCUUCAGGGUCAACUCAUGAUUUGGUUCUUCAAAAGGGAAAUGGAGGUGAUCAAAUUUGAAGGGUCGCUACAAGUCAAUUUGAUCUCAUUGAAGUGGCUGAUGAAGAGUUUUUGAACUAUUGUAAAAGUUUGAAUACAUUAUGUUUGAUUUUGUGAAAUAUAUUCUUUGCUAGAAUAUAUUGAACUAUUGUAAGAGUGCUUUUUGAACAAUUGUGUACACAUUUAGAAUAUUGUUGUUUAAGUAUGUGUAAGUACACAAGACGUACUAUCUUUUGAAGUUUAUUGCAAAUCUAUAUAUUUGAAU
This is a long non-coding RNA of Solanum tuberosum (potato), 1394 nucleotides long. RefSeq lists it as uncharacterized. NCBI's taxonomy places the organism in Eukaryota, Viridiplantae, Streptophyta, Magnoliopsida, Solanales, Solanaceae. The record is from RefSeq and is a predicted model, not a curated record. The transcript is spliced from 7 exons.